GCGAAAAAUAGGGGAUGGAAAUGUCCCAUUAGCAUCUGACGGCAGCUCAGAGGCACGGUGGAGGACGAGACGGUGUGCCCAGGUUUUGCAACGGGAAACACCGGCCCCGCCGAGAUCGAGAUCGGACGGUGCAGAUUACGUAGGAGGCGCAGGCAACCUGCCCAACCCUAACCGGGAGCCUAUAAAUACAAAAGAAAUCCUCCUUCCUAACCACCCAGCAAACCCAGCCGCCAGACCCACUAUCUCUCUUCCCCCCAUCUUUCCCUCCUAUGCAUCUCCGCCUCUCCUUCUCGAUUCGGCACGAGCUUCGCUUCGAUUUGCUUUUAUUUUCUCUCGCCCUGCUCGUUCUCCGAUGAUGACCCAAAUAAUACUUUCGUUCUUCUGAAAUUCACAAUGUGGAAGAACUGGAGACCUGAACUGAGGAGACUGCAUCUGGUUGCCGUUUGAUUUUUCUGUACGUAUUUUGUUUUCUUUUCCUUCCCAUGGAUCGGGGUUGGUUGUUCGCGGAUCCCGGUGAUGACCUGUGAUGUUAAAGUAGUGGCCUGAUUCAUACAUUGAUGAGAUCCAUAUUAUCACCCAGAGGGAUCUGAGCCAAGAAGCAACCCGACAUUGUUGCUCGUCUGGGGUUCUCGUUUUUGCUAUUUGCUUGAGAAGUUUUGGACUACUUUUCGCCCUCCCGAUGACUGGACAAAAUUUAAGUUUCAGCCUUGUCUGAAAAAUACCAAUCUGUUGAUACAUCUAUGCAAAUGUUUCUGAGGGACCAUCUCUUUUCGAGAUUCUGUUUUUGUUUUAUCUUGUGCUAGAUCUAAUGCCUAAAGCUGUCCGAUGAUGAUGAAACUAAAUACUUUCGUUCUUCUGAUGCGCUAUCUCAUGGCGCGGUGUGGAAGCAAUUUGGAGACCUGAACUGAGGAAAAGCUUAUUAUAUCGGUGCAUUUCAAAUUUUUCCGCUUGCAUUUUGCGUUUGAAAAACUGUUUUGUGUUUGUUGCUUCACACCUGGAAGGAUGGCCUGUUGAUAUCAGUCUGGUCAUCCCGUAGAGGGAAGCAUAGACGGACGGAAACACCGGCCAGCAUUAAACAGCACGACGCAAAAUCAAACUGUGUCGUGUUACCUGUCUUCUGGUACAUCUCAACACAAAUUUGCAUGUUUUUGUUUCAUGAGAUUCGUGUUGCCCCUGCAUGCGGCUCGGAGGUGGGAGGUGGUUGGCUGGUUGUUUGAGCAAUCAUGUCAGUUUUGUCAGCCGCUUGUGUCGAGGAGAUGCCCCUGCAUACAGCUUGGAGGUGGGCGGUGGUUGGCUGGUGGGUGAAAUGAAAUCGAGGAGGGACCUCGGUGGCGGUGCUGGAUGUGAUAGAAAUCUAGAAUAUAGGCUCUCUAAAUUCUGUGAUUUCUGUCCUGUCCGCCGCCGCUCACAUCUCCCUCUGCGCCUGUCAUCCCUCCCUUCUCGAUUUUAGGCCACGGCCAACAACCUCUGUCUCCCAGCUGUCUCAUCUGGAUCCAACUCAUGGUGGAAUAAAGCUUGCUUGACAGUUCAUGCGAAUCAGUGUUAUCAAAUUGCUGCUUGAUCUGUAAUUCGGUUCAUUCUGUGGUUACUUUACUUUGUGUGAGCAAUCAAAGUUAGUUUUGUCCGGUGAUGAAGUGAUUUGGAGACCUGAACUGAGGAAGGGCUGUAUGAAUUGAGUUUUUAUCAAAUUUGCUUCAUAAAUGUUAAUGGCUUGUUAGCAGUUU
This is a long non-coding RNA of Triticum urartu, 1724 nucleotides long. RefSeq lists it as uncharacterized. The record is from RefSeq and is a predicted model, not a curated record. Lineage: Eukaryota; Viridiplantae; Streptophyta; Magnoliopsida; Poales; Poaceae.